GACGAAGGGGGCUAGCGUUGUUCGGAAUUACUGGGCGUAAAGGGCGCGUAGGCGGCUUUUCAAGUCGGGCGUGAAAUCUCCGGGCUUAACCUGGAAGGGUCGUUCGAUACUGUCGAGCUAGAGUGUGGAAGAGGCUACUGGAAUUCCGUGUGUAGCGGUGAAAUGCGCAGAUAUCGGGAGGAACACCUAUGGCGAAGGCAGCUCGCUGGGACGUUACUGACGCUGAGACGCGAAAGCGUGGGGAGCAAACAGG
RNAcentral lists this ribosomal RNA (253 nucleotides) under uncultured bacterium. RNAcentral describes it as "partial 16S ribosomal RNA". It matches the Rfam family "Bacterial small subunit ribosomal RNA", at positions 524 to 776 of the family's 1533-position model. The record is from RNAcentral.